GAGGUCGCCUAUUUAAAUGAAGUCGUGUUCAGCAGUUUCUUGUUCGGCUAUCAGGUUGUGGGGAGGUGGGGGGGGAGAGGAAGGAUUAAAAAAAGACUGAAUUUGUUAAGUAUUGCUUGAAGGGAAGAUGUGGGGAUGACGCACUGCUGCCAACAGAGCGAGAGGGUGGAAACACUGAGAGGGCUGCUUCCCAGAUGUCUCACUGUACAUUGUGUGGCUGUUAUAUGGAAAAGGCUGACGAGAGGAUGAUGGGAAGAAGGCUGUACCAGCAUGGCUCCCUCUGGUACAGCCAUGUCCCAGCCCAGUGUGGUCCCAGGAGGGGAGAGCGAGUGAGGAUGAAGAGGAGGAUGAGGAAGAUGGUUUCUUACUCUCCCUGGCAGAGUAUGAGUGGGUGUCAGCACUGCAGGACAUGGAGCUCUGCACCAACAGCCCAACUAGGCAAGUUACCCCAAUGGGGAUGUUGGGGUAGCCGAUGUAUAAAGAGAGAAGAGGAGUUUGAGAACAACUUAGAAGCUUAGCUUCUCAUUUGUUAGGCUAAGCAACCCUGGAGCAAUGCGCAUUGGGUACUGGGUAACUAUGAUUCCAAUAUGCACAGCUCAUGUGCUUGCAUUGCAGCUUCUCUAUGAGCACCUCACAGAAUACCCUUAUUUUCACAUUAGUUAGCCAAGAAAGUGUCUGAUCUCUGAUAUCUGAUGUCUUUUGUCACUGCUGCAGCUGCGCCCUAGACAGUCAUGCUUACCAAGACCUACAGCAGCUUGUUCAUCAAAUAAAAGACAGACGGGAG
This 784-nucleotide long non-coding RNA is filed under the name Lepisosteus oculatus (spotted gar). Its description in RNAcentral is "lncRNA (ENSLOCG00000022772.1)". Lineage: Eukaryota; Metazoa; Chordata; Actinopteri; Semionotiformes; Lepisosteidae. The record is from RNAcentral.